AUCCAGCUGACGAGUUUCAAAUAGGACAAAAAACACAUCCUGGAU
RNAcentral lists this non-coding RNA (45 nucleotides) under Schistosoma margrebowiei. Lineage: Eukaryota; Metazoa; Platyhelminthes; Trematoda; Strigeidida; Schistosomatidae. The record is from RNAcentral.